Molecule: ribosomal RNA, 253 nt
Filed under: uncultured bacterium
Lineage: Bacteria
Description: partial 16S ribosomal RNA
Rfam family: Bacterial small subunit ribosomal RNA
Source: RNAcentral
UACGUAGGGGGCUAGCGUUGUUCGGAAUUACUGGGCGUAAAGCGCUCGUAGGCGGACUACUAAGUCAGGGGUGAAAUCCCGGGGCUCAACCCCGGAACUGCCUUUGAUACUGAUAGUCUCGAGUCCGGAAGAGGUGAGUGGAAUUCCGAGUGUAGAGGUGAAAUUCGUAGAUAUUCGGAGGAACACCAGUGGCGAAGGCGGCUCACUGGUCCGGUACUGACGCUGAGGUGCGAAAGCGUGGGGAGCAAACAGG